CCUACGGGUGGCAGCAGUGAGGAAUCUUUGUCAAUGGGCGCGAGCCUGAACCAGCCAAGUAGCGUGAGGGAUGAAUGCCCUACGGGUUGUAAACUUCUUUUAUGAAGGAAUAAAGUGCGGCACGUGUGCCUUUUUGUGUGUACUUUAUGAAUACGGAUCGGCUAACUCCGUGCCAGCAGCCGCGGUAAUCCUGAGGAUCCACGCGUUAUCCGGAUUUAUUGGGUGUAAGGGGAGCGUAGAUGGGGUGUGAAGUCAGCGGUAAAAAUUCGGGGCUCAACCGCGUCCGGCCGUUGAAACUGGGGGCCUUGAGUGGGCGAGAAGAAGGCGGAAUGCGUGGUGUAGCGGUGAAAUGCAUAGAUAUCACGCAGAACACUGAUUGCGAAGGCAGCUUUCCGGAGCCUGACUGACGCUGAGGCACGAAAGUGCGGGGAUCGAACAGGAUUAGAUACCCUUGUAGUC
This 459-nucleotide ribosomal RNA is filed under the name uncultured bacterium. RNAcentral's name for it is "partial 16S ribosomal RNA". It matches the Rfam family "Bacterial small subunit ribosomal RNA", at positions 338 to 795 of the family's 1533-position model. The record is from RNAcentral.